GGGAGAAGCAGGCUUCCUGCCGAGCAGGGAGCCAGAUGUGGGGCUCGAUCCCAGGACCCCGGGAUCAUGACCUGAGCCGAAGGCAGACGCUUAACCAACUGAGCCACCCAGAUGCCCCAGAAAUUUUUGAACCACUGAAAGCCCACAUUGGCUGUUUUUGAGGCAUCAUGACUUUUAAAUUGCCAGAAAUCACUGGAGUCAGGGGGCUCACCAGGACACAUGUCAGUGUUGCACCUCUGGAUCUGGGAGUCUGGCCCCCCACAAGCUCUUCCGCCGUUGGAGGGAUGAGGGUUAUCACAUGUGCGGAACCGCCGCAUCUGCCCCCCGUUGCA
This is a long non-coding RNA of Mirounga angustirostris (Northern elephant seal), 332 nucleotides long. RefSeq lists it as uncharacterized. NCBI's taxonomy places the organism in Eukaryota, Metazoa, Chordata, Mammalia, Carnivora, Phocidae. The transcript is spliced from 3 exons. The record is from RefSeq and is a predicted model, not a curated record.